UACGUAGGGUGCGAGCGUUAAUCGGAAUUACUGGGCGUAAAGCGUGCGCAGGCGGUUUUGUAAGCCAGAUGUGAAAGCCCCGGGCUUAACCCGGGAAUGGCAUUGGAUACUGCAGAUCUGGAGGAUCGGAGGGGGGACUGGAAUUCUUGGUGUAGCAGUGAAAUGCGUAGAUAUCAAGAGGAACACCAGUGGCGAAGGCGAGUCCCUGGACGAUACCUGACACUGAGGCACGAAAGCUAGGGGAGCAAACAGG
Molecule: ribosomal RNA, 253 nt
Filed under: uncultured bacterium
Lineage: Bacteria
Description: partial 16S ribosomal RNA
Rfam family: Bacterial small subunit ribosomal RNA
Source: RNAcentral